This 253-nucleotide ribosomal RNA is filed under the name uncultured bacterium. Its description in RNAcentral is "partial 16S ribosomal RNA". It matches the Rfam family "Bacterial small subunit ribosomal RNA", at positions 524 to 776 of the family's 1533-position model. The record is from RNAcentral.
UACGUAGGCAGCAAGCGUUGUUCGGAAUUACUGGGCGUAAAGAGUGUGUAGGCGGUGCUCUAAGUUCGGUGUGAAAUCUCCCGGCUCAACUGGGAGGGUGCGCCGGAAACUGGGGUGCUGGAGCGCGGGAGAGGAAAGCGGAAUUCCUGGUGUAGCGGUGAAAUGCGUAGAUAUCAGGAGGAACACCGGCGGUGUAGACGGCUUUCUGGACCGUAGCUGACACUGUGACACGAAAGCGUGGGUAGCAAACAGG